Molecule: transfer RNA, 64 nt
Filed under: Papunya picta
Lineage: Eukaryota; Metazoa; Arthropoda; Insecta; Coleoptera; Cerambycidae
Description: tRNA-Cys
Source: RNAcentral
GGUUUUAUAGUCAAUUAUGAUUUUAAAUUGCAAGUUUAAAGGUAAGGAUUAUCUUUUAAAGCCU